RNAcentral lists this long non-coding RNA (1586 nucleotides) under Marmota monax (woodchuck). The record is from RNAcentral. Lineage: Eukaryota; Metazoa; Chordata; Mammalia; Rodentia; Sciuridae.
AAACUUUUUUACUCCAUCUGCUAUUAUUUUUUUAAAUUUAUUUUUUGUGGUGUUGAGGAUUGAAUCCAGUGCCUCACAUGUGCUAGGUGAGCACUCUACCACUGAGCUGCAACUCCAGCCCCUAUGUAUAUAUCUAAUCAUGACCAAAAAAAUAUUUACUGAAGUACCAAGGCACCUCUCAGCUUUAAAUAUCUAGGGCCACCUGACUCUCCCCUUUCCAUGGCGUGUGUACACUAAUUUUCCUUAGCUGCGUGUGCCUUGGGAGUAACAAGAAGCUAUGAAAAUUGAGAACUUAAAUGUAAAUUAAUGAAAUCAAUCUGAAACCUUGUAGUUUCAAACCUCAUUCACCAUUUGAUGUAUAGAAUUUAAUUUCAUCUUGCGCAAAUGUAAUUUAAUUUAUUCCAUAGUGAUGUUCAAUAGUUGCAAAGACUAAAGAGUUGUUUUUUUUUUUUUAAAGAAAUCUACCAAGGACUAUUGUGAAAUGUAUACAGAACCUAAAGUGAAAAAGAGAUAAAUCAAUUUGACUUCUCAAAAAAAAAAAAAAGGAAGAAACUCAAAACCUCCCUUGGGGAAUAUACUGAGUUAUACAUUCUCCUUUUUGUUGCUCAAUAAAUAAGGAAUGUUUGUGGCUGUAGUUGUAGCUCAGUGGUAGAGUGCUUGUCUAGCAUGUGUGAGGGACUUGGUUUGAUUCUUAGCACACAUAAAAAUAAAUAAAUAAAAUAAAGGUAUUGUAUCCAUCUACAAUUAAAAACAUUAAAAAAAUUAAAAAGGAAUGUUUGGUAAUUAUGACAGGAAUGAAACCAAUGGGAAUGGGGGAUGAAUUCUGUUCCUAGUAGCACUGUGAGGUCACUAGGUACUUUUGACCAAGGCCCAUAAUCUCUGGGAGCUCCUCCUUUUUAAAGACAAGCAACUAAAUAUGGAAACAGCAUUUAUAAAUGCUUGUGUAGCAUGAAUGAGGUUCAAAAGACAGGUUCUUUCUCAUGUGUCUCUUCAUCAGUAUGAUGUCUCAGAGAUAGUAAUUUAUAAUAAAACAUAGUGUUGAUGGACCUUUAUUUUAUUAAUUUAUUUAUAUUUAGAUUAUAAAGCUGGUGCCACUCUUGACCUCUGGAAAGCUUUGGUUUAAGGAAGACUUUUCUUAGCAAGCUUUCUGCUCUAGAAGAUCAAUCCACAUUUGGCUGGGAGUAUUGGUUCUGAGCUAAGGCCCAUGGGAAAAGUCCAAGUUUCUGUGACAAACUAAAACCAGUAGUCAGCAUUCCCUAACAUUCAAGGGCUGGACUUGAUAACUAAAAAAUCUGGGUUCAGAAGAAAUGGUGCAGCUGGGCCCAUGCCUGUAAUUCCCGCAGCUUGGGAGGCUGAGGCAGGAGCAUUGGUUCAAAGGCAGCCUCAGCAACUCAGCAAGGCCCUAAGCAACUUAGUGAGACUCUGUCUUUUUUUUUUAAGAGAGAGAUGAGAGGAGAGAGAGAGAGAGAGAAUUUUUUUAAUAUUUAUUUUUUAGUUUUCGGCAGGCACAACAUUUUUGUUUGUAUGUGGUGCUGAGGAUCGAACCUGGGCCGCACGCAUGCCAGGUGAGCGCACUACCGCUUGAG